UGGGGAAUAUUGGGCAAUGGACGAAAGUCUGACCCAGCGACGCCGCGUGAGGGAAGAAGGUCUUCGGAUUGUAAACCUCUGUUGACAGGGAAGAAGGAAGUGACGGUACCUGUCGAGGAAGCCACGGCUAACUACGUGCCAGCAGCCGCGGUAAUACGUAGGUGGCAAGCGUUAUCCGGAAUUACUGGGUGUAAAGGGUGUGUAGGCGGGACUGCAAGUCAGAUGUGAAAUCCACGGGCUCAACUCGUGAACUGCAUUUGAAACUACUCUUCUUGAGUAUCGGAGAGGCAAUCGGAAUUCCUAGUGUAGCGGUGAAAUGCGUAGAUAUUAGGAGGAACACCAG
RNAcentral lists this ribosomal RNA (343 nucleotides) under uncultured Pseudoflavonifractor sp. RNAcentral describes it as "bacterial SSU rRNA". It matches the Rfam family "Bacterial small subunit ribosomal RNA", at positions 355 to 712 of the family's 1533-position model. Lineage: Bacteria; Bacillati; Bacillota; Clostridia; Eubacteriales; Oscillospiraceae. The record is from RNAcentral.